CUCAAUUUGAUCCGAAAAAUUGAAAAAGAAUGUCAGGAACAACUAAAUAUAAUCAGAAACCUGGAAAGGAUAUGUCAGGAUCAAGUUAUUGUGAUCCGUACCCUGGAAAGGAAACGUCAGGAUGGAUGUACUGAGCUUGAAAACAUCCAAAGAGAACUGCAAGAGGUGAAAAACAUUGAAGUCCAAUAUUUCCUAAAGCAACUCCAAGAGG
This is a long non-coding RNA of Polypterus senegalus (gray bichir), 211 nucleotides long. RefSeq lists it as uncharacterized. The record is from RefSeq and is a predicted model, not a curated record. The transcript has 5 exons. NCBI's taxonomy places the organism in Eukaryota, Metazoa, Chordata, Cladistia, Polypteriformes, Polypteridae.